GACGAACGCUGGCGGCGUGCUUAACACAUGCAAGUCGAACGGAAAGGCCCUGCUUUUGUGGGGUGCUCGAGUGGCGAACGGGUGAGUAACACGUGAGUAACCUGCCCUUGACUUUGGGAUAACUUCAGGAAACUGGGGCUAAUACCGGAUAGGAGCUCCUGCUGCAUGGUGGGGGUUGGAAAGUUUCGGCGGUUGGGGAUGGACUCGCGGCUUAUCAGCUUGUUGGUGGGGUAGUGGCUUACCAAGGCUUUGACGGGUAGCCGGCCUGAGAGAGUGACCGGCCACAUUGGGACUGAGAUACGGUCCAGACUCCUACGGGAGGCAGCAGUGGGGAAUAUUGCACAAUGGGCGGAAGCCUGAUGCAGCAACGCCGCGUGCGGGAUGACGGCCUUCGGGUUGUAAACCGCUUUCGCCUGUGACGAAGCGUGAGUGACGGUAAUGGGUAAAGAAGCACCGGCUAACUACGUG
RNAcentral lists this ribosomal RNA (468 nucleotides) under uncultured bacterium. RNAcentral describes it as "partial 16S ribosomal RNA". It matches the Rfam family "Bacterial small subunit ribosomal RNA", at positions 28 to 507 of the family's 1533-position model. The record is from RNAcentral.